Molecule: ribosomal RNA, 520 nt
Filed under: uncultured bacterium
Lineage: Bacteria
Description: partial 16S ribosomal RNA
Rfam family: Bacterial small subunit ribosomal RNA
Source: RNAcentral
GACGAACGCUGGCGGCGUGCCUAAUACAUGCAAGUCGAACGCACUCUCGUUUAGAUUGAAGGAGUUUGCUCCUGAUUGAUAAACAUUUGAGUGAGUGGCGGACGGGUGAGUAACACGUGGGUAACCUGCCCUAAAGUGGGGGAUAACAUUUGGAAACAGAUGCUAAUACCGCAUAAAACCUAACACCGCAUGGUGUAGGGUUGAAAGAUGGUUUCGGCUAUCACUUUAGGAUGGACCCGCGGUGCAUUAGUUAGUUGGUGGGGUAAAGGCUCACCAAGACCGUGAUGCAUAGCCGACCUGAGAGGGUAAUCGGCCACACUGGGACUGAGACACGGCCCAGACUCCUACGGGAGGCAGCAGUAGGGAAUCUUCCACAAUGGACGAAAGUCUGAUGGAGCAACGCCGCGUGAGUGAAGAAGGUUUUCGGAUCGUAAAACUCUGUUGUUGGAGAAGAAUGUAUCUGAUAGUAACUGAUCAGGUAGUGACGGUAUCCAACCAGAAAGCCACGGCUAACUACGUG